This 466-nucleotide ribosomal RNA is filed under the name uncultured bacterium. RNAcentral's name for it is "SSU rRNA". It matches the Rfam family "Bacterial small subunit ribosomal RNA", at positions 26 to 523 of the family's 1533-position model. The record is from RNAcentral.
AGAGCGAACGCUGGCGGCAUGCUUAACACAUGCAAGUCGCACGGGCAUCUUUCGGGGUGUUAGUGGCGGACGGGUGAGUAUCGCGUAGGGAUUUAUCGUUGGGUGGGGGAUAACCUUGGGAAACUGGGGCUAAUACCGCAUGACGCCUGAGGGCCAAAGCGUUGUUCGUAAGGAUGGCGUGUCUGACGAGAAGCCUGCGUCCGAUUAGGUAGUUGGUUGGGUAAUGGCUGACCAAGCCUUCGAUCGGUAGCUGGUCUGAGAGGAUGAUCAGCCACACUGGGACUGAGACACGGCCCAGACUCCUACGGAGGCAGCAGUGGGGAAUAUUGGACAAUGGGCGCAAGCCUGAUCCAGCAAUGCCGCGUGGAUGAAGAAGGUCUUCGGAUUGUAAAGUCCUUUCGACGGGACGAUGAUGACGGUACCCGUAGAAGAAGCCCGGCUAACUUCGCGCCAGCAGCCGCGGUAA